UACAGAGGGUGCGAGCGUUAAUUGGAAUUACUGGGCGUAAAGGGCGCGUAGGCGGUUAAUUAAGUUAGAUGUGAAAUCCCUGGGCUUAACCUAGGAACUGCAUUUAAUACUGGUUGACUGGAGUGCUGUAGAGGGUAGUGGAAUUUCCGGUGUAGCGGUGAAAUGCGUAGAUAUCGGAAGGAACACCAGUGGCGAAGGCGGCUACCUGGACAGACACUGACGCUGAGGCGCGAGAGCGUGGGGAGCAAACAGG
RNAcentral lists this ribosomal RNA (253 nucleotides) under uncultured bacterium. Its description in RNAcentral is "partial 16S ribosomal RNA". It matches the Rfam family "Bacterial small subunit ribosomal RNA", at positions 524 to 776 of the family's 1533-position model. The record is from RNAcentral.